CCCCCCCCCCCCCCCGGGGCUCGGCCCACUCGCCGUGUGGUCGGCUUCGGUCGCCUCGGGCCUCCUCGCCCCCGCGGCCCCGGAGGACAACGAGGGAGGAGCGGCGGGGACGGGAACGGAGGAGGUACAAAGGGUGAGGCGGGGGAGAGGGGGGGGAGACGGAUCGAAAAGAGACGUGGAUGACGGGAGGAAUGAAAGAUGACACAUCACGUCACUCCACGUCUGUGUAGGUUUUAGUCCGAGUGUGUUUGCAUGCGUCACGCGCCCAGUGUGUGUGUCCUCUGCACCAGUGGUGUAAGUAUGCAUAUUUAUGCAUAACGUCCGAGCGAGUUGCGUGCGUACUUGUGUGCACUCCGGUGCACACGGCGUCCGUGCUUGUGUGCGGCAGAGAUGAGGAGGUGAAAGGAGGAAGGGCCGCCGCGUUGCUUAUAUGUCACCCGGCGCCGGAGGGGAAAUGACUCCCUCUCUGUCCCCGACCCCCGGGGGGAGGAAGAGGAGGACCGCCGCCGACUUCUCCUGCUCCACUGCUCUUUGCUCACUCUCUUCCUGGGAAAUGUUAGCUAGAGCUUUUCUCUCUCUCUCUGACCCCCCCCCCCACACACACACACACACACACUCGUUUGCUCACGGUAGUACGUCUCGCGUUAUCCCCUUUCCUCCUCUUGUGCUUCUCAUCCCGUUAAACCUCCUGUUCCCCUCCUCCGCUCUUCUCUACCUCGUGCUUCCUGGCGCACCGCUCGCACCUCCUCCUCCUCCUCCUCCUCCUGCCAUUUUUCAUCCCCCCUGCAGCUAGAUGUCAACUUGUGAUUCUCUAUUAACCCCUUGAACCCCACUAACCCGCACACACACUCUCCUGCGCCACUCCGAUCGUCCUCUCAGGAAAAUGGAAAAUAAAUCUAACAACAAUUCAAGGCUUCUGAUAUUUCCUUCCCUCCGUUCAAUUAAACAUGCGGCCUCCAUCUGCUUCUUUGUUUCACUUCAGCUUUUCUUCCGCAAUAUUGACUAUGGUUGUUCUUGUGAUUGUUUCUUAAGACUGUGUUUUACCCUGUUAUGACCAGAGAUGUUAACACUAGAGGAACGUGUCACGGGUGUGUGUCUGUUCCCGUGUACGCGUGGAAUAGGGUGGAUUCGCUCCGCUUCAAGGUUCUGUGCCAAAACCUUUUCAGAACAUUUAAUCUUUGUUCAUGUGCCAUAUUGAGAAAUUUAUGAAAUAAAAAAUAACGUUUUUUCAAAAAAUUCAAAGUGAAAAUUGGGUGCUUAUUUUUUUUUACUGUAAGUCUAUUAACUUAAAACAGUGUGCGCCAAAUCGCACAACAGCAGCCGUUGUGCCUGCAUGUGUGUGUGAAUUAAUAUGCAUGAAUUCUUGGUGUGUGCGUGCUUCUAAGAUCUAAGUUAUUUUCCCAGAUAUCCUCCCCUGCAGCAUCAGUUCAUUCCCCAGUGUGCUGCAGCAGUGUUGUGGUGUUGUAAUGCGUAUGUUUGUGUGUGUGUGUGUGUGUGUGUGUGUGGCAUUGUGUCAGUGUGUUAAAGCUGAUUUGACACAUAGGCUGUGCACCGGCUGGCUGCAGGCUGUGUAUUGUAACCCAAGCGGCUGACCUACGCCUGCGCCCCACGUCUGUCCGCAUGUGUGUGUGUGUGUGUCUUUGCGCUCACGUGGCUGCAGGUUUGCGCGUGUGUCCCCGUUUGUGCGUUGCUCGUGGUAUGCUGUGUGGCCUGCGGUGAACACUUAGCUUGUGCUGGCUGGGGGUUUACCAAGAGGUCAGCUUCUGGAUGCUACUGACUCAGGGUUACAAUUAUUGCCAUAUGUGCGUGUGUGUGUGUGUGUGUGUGCGCACCCUCACAGGCUAAACUCAGUGUUGAGACAACACACAACAUUAAAAGCGCCUGGAUUUAAAACUGUUCAAUAAUGUAAUCCGGAAUGAAAGAUAAUUAAUGACUCAGCAAGAGCUGCACACGUGUGUGCAGUACGACUUGAAUGCUGCGAGUCUCGGUUAAGAGAGGACUAACUGAAGACCGGACAACGGACGUGAAAGACGCUCAAAUCUCGGAUGGAUUUGGAUUUGAAUAUCAAAUAGCAGGUUUAACACAGUGGAAGGACUACAAGUACUUUCCCAUACAGCUUAACUGAAGCCUCUGGUUCUAGUUUUAAACACACGGUCUGAUACAUAAAUGUAGUAAAUGUGGCCCCGGGAUGCGUUACGUGCGAGCAGUCGUUUUGCUUCCUUUGACAAAUUUAUGAACACAACUGACAAAACAUCAAUGAAAUAAAUGAUUCAAAACUCUGUUUUUGGUCAAAGAAAAUCUUUAAUUAGCCCUGUAAAAUGUAAAAAUAUGCCGACUCCACGCAUUGUUUCCUCUCUGCUGUCACUCUGCGGGGCCACGCUGGUUGUCGGAGGCUCUCGCUCCCCACUUCUUCAGAGGAGACAAAUUAAAUAAAAAGAAAAAAGACUAAAUCGCUCUGGCGGAAUUGGUUGUCUCUUCCAGUUUAUCUUCAGGACUGUGAGGAAACUUUCAUGUGAGGCACACACACACGUCUCACUCUCCUUUGGACGUCGUCGGCGACAGCCUCCGUUUCUGUGGGCAUCGGAGGGUCGAUUCACAUUCCUGCCAACUAUUUCUUCCCAGCUGCAGCCGCUCCACAUUUCCCUUUACUGACACAAAACCGAACUAGACAGUUAGGCUUUAAAAUACGCUAUUUAACUAACAAGGUAUUUCAGUUCAUGGGGACUGAAGGGUUGCUGAAGCAAACAUGAGAGUGUGGACCGGUAGCUGGAGAGAGACGGCUGAGGUGUCCCUUGAGCAAGGCACUUAACUCCAGAAACGGCUCCCGGGGCAGUUGUGUACAGUAUCCGCAGUAGCUGUCCACUUAAAUGAAGUUGCUAGAUGUCACUUUGGCAUAACGGUACAACGUGUGACAGCAAAAGCAGAAUCAAAAUAAGUCACAUUUUACUUUUGGUUUCAACAGUCAUUUGGGUCAAAGCCUUUCUGCCCGCAAAAACACAUUUCUUAUAAAAUCUGCUGUAUAAACCAUUUUAUCCGUUUCUCGUCUCACAGUUUUUACUUGUAAACCAGGAUGUGUUUCUUCUUUUUUCCCCAAAGCUGAAAAUCUAGCACUAACUUUUCUCUUCAGAAAAUUCUGUAAUCAGAUUAUUUUAAUCCAGUUACACAUUAUGUAUUAGUCCUGCAGCCUCUGUGUGGGUGUGUGCAUGAGAAGCAGCAGCAAAAAGCAAAAAAAAAAAGAGAACGCAAACAAACACUGCCUUGUUUUGCAUGAUGUCCAUGCACAAUGCAUGUUAAAGCAAACAGGUUUGGAUCGCAUUAGCAUCAUAUAAUUUGCAUUAAAAAAAAAAGGUCUUGCAUGUUCUGCUCACGGCUGCGGGAAAUACAUGUGCUCUUUCUACAGGAGUCAUGUGUUGGAACAUCAAAACGCUGAUGCAACACCACUUCCAUUUGCGCGCAUGCUAUUUAUGCUCACGCUGAAUAGAUUAUGCAAAAACCACCUGACAAUUCUCACUUUCUCCUAACAGACAGCAGACUAGCGCAGCGAGCUCGUGUUCAAGAUGGGAACAGACUGCACGAAAUCCAGGACAAUUUGUAUGUGACAAAGCAGUGAGGCUGAGCCGGGCAGCUCAAUCAAACGGUUCUAUUUCUCCCUCAUCUCUAGUUAGGUCAGAAUAGAUGUGAUUGAAGGUGGGAGGAGCUGUCGGGGAGAAAUAUAAGCUCAUGGAAGGACAGAGAGAGGCGAUGUGGGGGAGGAGAGAGAGGAGGAGGAGGAGGAGGAAUAGAGUCCUAAUGAUGAGAGGGAAACAAGUUUCCGUUUCAUGCCCCCCUUCUCAUGAAAAGGCCAAUUCUUUCAGUUGGCUGAAAUCUAAAUGGUUUUCUCCCUCUGCCUUCCCCUUCUGGGCCUGUCGCAUGUCACUCCCCCCUCGCUGCCAUUUGUCUCUGGCUUUUCUGCUCUGGUGCUCAUGCCGCGUUGCCGUCGCGGUUACUCUGGGAGGCGGGCUUCGUCUGGAGGUCAAGGCUGGCAUUAGUCCUGGACGUGAAGGUCAGAGACAAAAAAGGGGAGCCUCUGUCUUCUUUAAUUCGGCUUUGCGUGACGAACGGUCCAUGUCAGCCCCUCCACAGCCCCCCACGCGCUCUUCUCCUCGCCACUCUCCUGUUCAGCAGUAAUACAGUUGUAAAGUGUAACCUUGGAGACAGGGGGCUAAUCAUCCAUCCCACAGCUACCCUUUCAAUCCGUCUCCAUCCACCUCACUGUCUCUUCACCUCUCCUCCUCGCUUUCGCCUCCCACCUCCUCUCCACCUUUACACCUCCUCUUCACUGCAACAGGCUAUUUAGGUAUUUCAUCGGGUUUACAGUAUUCUCCCAAUUAUCUGCCUAGCUCUUUACCUAUCCUCCCUCCUUCUCCCCCUCCUCUUCCCCUCUGUGUGUUUGUCCUGUGGAAGGACGUUUGUUUUCCUGUGGGGGUAGAGGGGAAUCGACAUCGAGAGAUGAGUUAUUGAUUAGAAAGCAGGUUGCAGGGGAGAGGUAAUGCGGCUCAGAGAGAGAGAGAGACAGAGAAGGGGUGAGAGAGAGAGGGAGAGAGAGUGAACAGGAUGACACGUACAGCCUGGGACAGAUCCUGCAUACUGUAGCAAGGCAGCAGCCCCACGCAUGCCUGCAUUGUAGCGCACGUGCAAGGCGUGCAAGGUGGUUUGGAGACGCCGUUCCACUCACACCUGAUUAAAGGUUAAAACCGAAUUGGAGAUACUUGACUAUCUGCGGAUUGGAAAUCAACAUCCCACCAAGGUCUUCAAAACACUUGCUGUUACUGCUUCACCUUUAAUCAUCUCCAAUACUUAAUUGUGUGUGACAUCAUCAGUGUGAGCUGACCAAAAUCCUCCGGUAAACGGACCAACUGGUGAUUGACACUAGUUGAUACUGAAUGAACACACACUUUUUUAGUGGACUAUGCUUCAAACUAUAAUGCUCUCGGUUCCUCUCUAGCUUUAGUUUUGGACGUGUCAAGGACGGCGUGUCAAUUUACGGUCGUUAGUGAACAGUCCCUCCUUAAAAUACACUUCCGACAUCGGCUUAUGUUUUAAAUUUACUCAUGCAAAUUGAAAGCUGGUGCCAAGAGGACUAAAAUUCAAGACUCGACACUCUGAAAGGAGAACAAAAGUCUUUCUUUCGGGCAGGGUGCGGUACACAGAUAGCGGUCCAAAAACGUUAGGCAAGGUCUUGGUAAAGGUAAACGAAGGUUGGUCGGAAAAACACAAAGAACGUAUUGCUGGAACGGUGAUUGAACCUGUGAGGACAAAGGGAAGCACUCAGACUAAAUACACAAUGAAAAGGGGGGGGGGAUAACAAGGGACAUGUGAAAACAAUCAGGCCGCUGCAGACAAUCCACAGGCGGGAAUCACACAAAGGCUGAGGAAAUCUGAAACAAGAGACACCCAAUGUGGCCCCACUUACUUCCUGUAGAACAUUUUAGAUUUGAAACGCCUUUGAUGCUCACAUUACACACUAAAAUACUCACGCUACAAGCUACAAUGCUAACGCUACAACGCUACAAAAUGCUCAAGCUACUAUGGCAACGUUACAAGCUAAAAUGCUCAAGCGACUAUGCAAACAUUACAAGCUGAAAUGCUCACGCUACAAGCUACAAUGCUAACGCUACAAGCUAAAAUGCUCAAGCUUCAAGCUAAAAUGGCAGCUUGUUGUUGGCAGUCUGUAGUUUCCUCUGUAGGGAACAUGGAAUGUGCUCAAAUUAUUUCUUCGUGUGAACCACAUUUCACCAACUAUAAUUAUAUGACUUUUGAAAAAUACAUUUAAUAUCAUCUCUCUUUCAAACAGAUUGAUUUGUUUGUGAAACAUGUUGUAACCUUGGUUACAAUUUAACAAGAUGACGGGUGAGAACGUGUUGCAUGAACGAGCAACUCUGUGAUUCAUCUAUAAGUUUAUUGGAUUUGUCAACUGGAUUUCAUAGCAGCUGAUUUACACACUAUUUCAUCCAAUCCCUUUUACAUAAAUACACUAAAGGUAAAUCCUUCUUUAUUUUAGAUCUGCAAUGCUUAAGACUUGAGAUGCAUUGAAUUGGCCCUUAGUUCAAACUGCCGGUGGUUAUUGUCAUAUACCACUUUCCAUCAUUUUCAGAUUCUUCUGACUCUUAGCUGCCAGAAAUGGAUCCUCUGUGUAAGUGUGGACUAGAAUCUUUAGACUCAGGGCAGCUUUGCAAGACGAUGGAUGUUGGUCAAGCUCAAAACGAUUCCUUAUUGGCAGCACACUGGGGAUAUUGUUUUCCACAUGACUAUUACACAUUUUAGCUGCACCAUUAAGCUCGCCGUAACAUGAAAAAGCUACACACUUUGGGCCACAUGUGGCUCACAUGCAAGUGCGGCACAUAUAACACCUGCAGAUUUGCAGUCAGACAGCGCAGUGAAUAUGUCAUCCCAGGAGAGGGCCAAAAAUCCAGUAAACAACACGAGAUGUAAUUUAUAACAAGGAUUUACCCAGGGACGCUAUUUCAUGCACAGUUAUCCAUGAAGAGAUGUCUUUUUUUUCUCCUAAGAGCAAGCAUAUGUUCUGUCAGACACCAGCGGCGGCAUCAACAUAACACCAGUUCACCAGCCAACAUAUGUGCGCUCAGCAGAAACAGGUCUUUAAAGAAGGUGCCAGAGUCGUCUCUGUGGUGCUGCACAGUGUUCACAGCACGCUGACUUGUGAUUUGACGCUCCAGUCUGGACCCCGCGAUGGGUCCACGCAUCCGUUUACAUAGAGCUCCUCCAAUCCUGACAUCCGACAGGACUCGGACGGAGGAGCAACCCAAAGGUAUCUCGUAAAAAUGAGCUCUGAUGUUCGGCAUUCCCGACUACAGAAGAACAACUUGGAGAGUAAAUGUACAAACAAGCACGAUACGAUUAUGAAUGCAUCACCAUCCAGCCGACAGGGAUGCAAUGCCUCACACAUACCUACCUGCUUUUACUCUUACUUACACCACCCUGCUAAUAAAAGUAAUAAACGUGCUGUGUGUGUAGGGGAAUUGGAUGGCUUGAUGGUACACGCAGAGGCGUGAUUGUGCACUUGUAGAACAUUUUAAGAUCCAUGUUCUGGGAAACCUCUGCACGUGCACACGGUCACUGCUGCCAUCAGUCCCUCCCAUCCCCGCGCUGCAGCUCUAAACGAUUAAAGUAGUUGCGGUAAUGACUGGAGGCAAAGGAGGCAAUGAACGAGGUGAAUUUCUCUCUCUCUCUCUCUCUCUCUCGCUCUCGCUCUCUCCCUCACUGAAGGUCUUAAAUCCAUCGAUUAGCCACAGAGGAGUACUGACAGGCAGCAGCCACUGCGGCCCUGCAGGGUUGCCUGUGUGUGUUUGCGUGUGUGCGCAUUGUCCCGCCAGUGUGAACAACAGAGAGGGAAACAGACAGCAGACACGGGGGCAAAGCCUGCAGUUGCGCACACCUAUAUGCGAGGGACCGCGAGAGCCUUAUUUACUCCACUACCUGGUUUAUUGAGUCAACCCCCUCAGUCAAGCUCUGAUGCAGCUGCCUGCCAGUCUGCCACCUCGGCUGCCCCCCCCCCCCCCCAGCUUCAGCAGCGUUCGUGGCUCCCUGUAGUUCAACACAGUCACAAAAGCACUUUUUUGUGCACAUGCAAGGGUUGUUCACCGUGCUACAGGCACGCCACCUCUACAGCCUGCACACACGGGACCCGUUUAAGGUCGGACCCGUGACUGCAGCAGUGGUGCCUAAUGAGACAACAUUAUUUAUAGUUCGGCGUGACAGAAGCGGCCUCGCCAUUAGACUGAUAAUGAGUCACUGAGAUAUUGAUGGACGCUUGCCCGUAUUGGUAUUCACCAAGGAACCAGUGCCACUUCUCCGGGUUGCCGUGGAUACCAAGGUUUCCUCCGAAAUGACCCGAUGAUAAUAAUAAUGACAACAAUGACUGCGCUACGUGGAAAUUGAGUUUUAAAACCACGAGGAGAAGGACGUAGCGCGAGAUGAGGAUGGAAAGAGAAUGAUGCAAAUUAAAAAAGAGGUAUAAAAGUGCAAAGGAGGAGGUGGUGGUGGUGUUGGGGGGGAUGUUGUGUCAGGAGUUUUGGUUGGGUGGAUGGAGGUGGGGGGUGGUGCACAAUCAAUGAUCAGUGGAAUAGCAUUAGCAUUGUUCACACAUCCCCAGCCCCGCUCCCCACACCACCCCCAGCUCCCCACCAACCCCUUCCUCUUGCGGCCUCUCUGUCUUUCUUGCUGCAGUGGCGUUGCCAUGGCUACCGAGAAAUGUGGGAAUACCUCUGUCCUUCAGAGAGAGAGAGAGAGAGAGAAGGAAGGAAGAGAUGGAAAGAGACAUCGAAGGGAAGGAAAUGAAGGAAGGAUGAAAAAAAGAGAAAUGAAGGAAGAUGCAGGGGCGCUUUGGGGUGCUCACUGGCCGCUGAGCCCACAUUAAAGGAGCAGCUAAAGUGUGAAACAUUGUGAUUUUAAACACCCGUGUACACACAUAAACAAAAUGUGCGUCAGAGUCGGCCACCCGCUAAUGCAUUCAGCUCCCUUUGCCGGUUCCGGUUCCAUGAAAGAGAGUUAGUGGAAAGUGUUUUGAGUGUGUUUGUGUGCGCUUAUGCACACACACACACACACACACACACACACACACACACACACACACACACUUGCUCACGCACAUGGUCUCUAACGCUCACACACACACACACCUACACCUGACUGUGGUAGCACACAUGUUAAUCAGUUGCCAGUCAGGCUCCUGUGUAUCCCCCCCUGGUCUCUGUGUUGUGAAGCCGCGGUUACUAUGACAACUAAUUUAGACUGAAAUAGUCUCAGUGCCUUUUGCUUUCCAUUGCGUGUUUACCCCCAUAUUCCUCCCUCUGACAACCCCUCGUUUUCGGCGACAAAGUGCAUUAGCAAGCUACCGAAGUGCCCCCCAAUUCUGCCGCUUCCCCCCGUUGUUCCCUUUUCCCGCAUCGCUCUCACCUCACUGCCAACCUGCUGCAAAGAUCCUCCUCCAAUUCAUUUUAUUGGCAGCUAGCAUUUCCAUGGAAACAUUUCAAAACCAUGGCAACUAUUUGAAUCGAGCCAGACACGUUCAAAACUGCUGCAUUCGUCCCCUUGCUCUACCUCUUUUCUCCUUCUGCCUCAUGCUACCUUCUCUUGAUCCUUUGUCUCCUCUUUGGAAUGGACAAGUAAUCUGUCGCAGUCAACCUGCAUGGAGAAUAAACUGUAUGUACUGUUUGUGUGAUAAAGUGGGCUCGUGCAUUGAUUGAGCUUCAAUGUUUGACCCUUUCCCACACACAUGUGGGUGUCCAUGCUGCAUCCUCUGCUUGUGCACGCUCUGCAGGAACCACGACAUGAUUAUGGCCAAGUGCCUGAUGCCUAGGCCCGCUCUCCUCCUCCACUAUUUACCUUGAGCUCGUCCUUCCAAGCGUUCCAGCAGCAUGCCUGUCAGUCAAACUUCUGACUCCUCCCCCGGGAUGCGACCCGAUGAUGUGAACCGGAGUAAGACGGAACUGACUGUCUGCCUGGGAGUCAAGUCACAGCAGGACGCUCCUGACUCGGGCUGGCGUUACUGCCGCUGCUUUGCUGUUGGACUCCCAACCAAGUUCCGAUUGUAAUGCUGCAGUUGGUCAUGUUAGUGCAAAUCAAGUGAGGCACAAUAGAUUUUUAAUACUUUGUUUUUGAGUCAAUAAAAAGUAUGAUAUGUUAUGCUCGCUCUGUUAAUUAACUAACAUUAUAUUAUUAUAAACAUGGGCAUCUAAUUGAUCAAAAAUAUUUCAUUUAAAGAAAGAAAGGAUGGAUGGAUUAUUGACCCAGAGGGGCCGAGGGUUUCGGGGUCAGUGUCCUACACAAUGUCAGUAAAGUAUUGAGCGGGAAGAGACUCACAAUGACAGCAGGUUGUUCGCAACACUGAGAACCAUAAAAACCAGCAUACUGAGAUGACACAAGGGCUGCAAAGAGAUACAAAUAGACACUCUCUGAAUAUGAAUAUAAUAUAUAUAAAUAGGAAGCAACCAAGGGAAACAUAAUUACGACAAACAGACAGUAAGCUAUACAUAAGAAAUAAAUAAUAAUAAAUGAUGCAGCCUGUAUGAGGAUUGCACCUGUGUAGGAGAGGUGGGGCGCAUGAUCUCACAAUCUGUCUGGUAAAUGCUGCUGUGAAUCAGCACGACGGUGUGCAUGUAGGUGGUUCCAAAUGAUGUUUGGAUGUCGGGUAUAGUCAUAUUUUGCACGAAGAGAGUGGACCAAUUAGGUAAACACGACAGUUCUGCACUUAUAGACAUUGUGCUGAUAUAUUCCUGGGUCGUUGAAACGGAUCAAAAAAUGUUCCAUUUAGAUCUGUGAAGGCGCCAAUAUGUAUGUAAAAAGCCAAAGGUGCAAGAAUUAUCAUGAGGACCAGAAUACGUAUUUCUGUGCUCAUUUAAAGUCACAUGAAGCGGAGACAUUUAGCUUGAAAAGGGCUUUCCCAUCUAGUCAAACAUAUUUAUUCCAUUAACCAACUCGGAUGACACAGGGAUGCAUAGUACAAGAUAUCCAAAAAGAUAACGAUUUAGCUCGACGUGCUGGAGGUUUAACAGUAAAAGUCCCAGCUGAGCUGGACUGCGUUACCACAGUGAGCUGGAUCCGACUUAUCAUCAAGAAGCUAUUGAAAGCUUUUUAUUAAAACAUAUCAAAGCAGUUCCUCUAAAACAGGCGGCUUUGAAUGUGCCGUUACUGACUGCGACAAGAGAGGUGAGGAGAACAUUCACACAGGAUUGCAACCAACAACACUGUGUGUGCCAAAAAGGGAAGCGGGGAUGAAAGUGCCAUAACUGUGAAAUUGAAUCUGUCGUAUUUUAGAUCCAUCUGUAAUAAUUGAUAUCUCACCACAGCUCUGAUGCGACAGGCUUUGAUUUUAUCUAAAAGAUCUAAUUGUAAAGCUGUGGUCAUACAAGUACAGGGAAACUAAUAACAUCACUCGCAACUUGCAGAUAAAAUCAUUUUCAUCCUUAAUGAUAAAGGAGCUUUGUGUCCAUCUCUUCAAUGUUGAGCCGCCCUCACUAUUCUGCUUGAAUCAUGAAAAUCUAAGAGUUGUGCUUAGCUCGUCUUCUUUCUCACCCCUUGCUUUUUUGUGUAGGUUUUUUUUUUCUCCGCUUGCAAUUUCUCCAACCAUGGAUUCCUUAAAAUAAAACAUUUCCAUUUUUUUCUUUAGCGGGUAAAGGGAAAUUAGCGUAAUUGUUUUAAUGAAAAGACCUCCGGGCAUUUUUUCUCCACCCUGUGAAAGCAGAUGAGUCCCUCUCACCUAAAGCGCUACGUCGUCCCCAAAAUCAAAGAAGCAGAAAACAAAAACCACGGUUACAGCAGAAAAAAAAAAAAUAGCGCGACAUUUCUUUUUUUUUAACCAAAACAAUACCCUAAAAUAAUAAUACUAUUACUAAACAUAAUGCAGAUGAAAGCACAGCCGUAUUCACAAGUCUAUUCCCAAAAAGACCUGCUCAGGAUUUGCUCAGUGGGGGGAAAAAAACAAUUACAGUGGCAUGAAAUGAAUAAAAGGUACAUUCAGUUAUCUGAGUCCUUUGAAGAUGGCUGAGGACGAGUAAGCAAAUCUAAUUCAACAGCAAGAGUUUUCCUUUCCAGAGGAGAAAAAAAGCACAGAAUGCAGAGAGGAGUUGGUACCAGUUUCUUCUUCUCUGGAGAGGGCGGGGG
Molecule: long non-coding RNA, 11661 nt
Organism: Gasterosteus aculeatus aculeatus (three-spined stickleback)
Lineage: Eukaryota; Metazoa; Chordata; Actinopteri; Perciformes; Gasterosteidae
Source: Ensembl